CGCCAUUUUGUUUGCACAGUGUUUCGAGCUUUUACUAAGAAUUUUCAGGUGUUUAACCAUAGCAAUAAUAGUGGAAAUUGACGGCACGUUCAGCGAUCACUAAAUUAGUGAUAAUUGUGUCAGAUUGUAUAGUUUAAACUGCCAGCUUCAAUCUUCUGGCUGGGCUUCGCGAUUGGUUUUCUGUGCUUGAAGCCUGAACAGCACUUUAUAUUAUUGUGUGCAAUUUGUAAUUUUUUUGAGGAAGUCGUGUUGUGUGUCACAAUAUGGCCGACGACGAUCUCAAAAGGUUAAGAGCGGCCAGGGGACAAUCAAAGGCGGCCAUUACGAGGAUGAUGGCCUUUAAGGCGACAGCGGAGGCUGCUUCUAGCAGCGAUGCGGACCCUCUGCUAUACCAGCAGAAGAAUGAUAGGCUUGAAAAGACUUUUCAAGAAUAUAAGGAACUCAACCUUGAAAUUUCAUUGUUGGACCCUGCGGAUUCCGAACGUGUUGAGGACUUCGAGGAGAAAUAUGAUCUGCUCAAAUCGUUCUAUGCGGGUGUAGUAAACAAGGCAUUGGACGCCUCUACGUCGAGCGUCUCACCGCAACCAUCCUUUUCGUCUCCUGGAGGCUGUAAUGCCUCGCCAUUUAGGCUGCCUCCAAUAAAUCUAAAAGUGUUCGCGGGAGAGAGCAACGGGCUGCUGCCUUGGAGUCCCUGGGAGAGCGGACGCCUUCAGGGCGCCGGUCUAGUUUAGUUGCAAGUAGUGUUAAAGUGGCCAAGCCGCUUAAGUCGGGUAUAAACAAAUGCGCUUUUGCCGGAGCAGCUGCCAGCCCUGCCUAGCAAGCUGAUCCUGCAGAAUACACGCUUUGGGUUUAUCGUUGCUGGAUUGGCUGGUGCUUCCGACACAGCCCCGGUAUCCAACUUAGUAUCAAAUUAUUGCUGUCAACAGCUAACACACAACAGUGACAUAGGUAAA
Molecule: unclassified non-coding RNA, 953 nt
Filed under: Leguminivora glycinivorella
Lineage: Eukaryota; Metazoa; Arthropoda; Insecta; Lepidoptera; Tortricidae
Description: uncharacterized LOC125233680, transcript variant X1
Source: RNAcentral